GAUGAACGCUGGCGGCGUGCUUAACACAUGCAAGUCGAACGAAGCACCUUAUUCUGAUUUCUUCGGAAUGAAAAAUUUGGUGACUGAGUGGCGGACGGGUGAGUAACGCGUGGGUAACCUGCCUCAUACAGGGGGAUAACAGUUAGAAAUGACUGCUAAUACCGCAUAAGACCACAGCACCGCAUGGUGCAGGGGUAAAAACUCCGGUGGUAUGAGAUGGACCCGCGUCUGAUUAGGUAGUUGGUGGGGUAACGGCCUACCAAGCCGACGAUCAGUAGCCGACCUGAGAGGGUGACCGGCCACAUUGGGACUGAGACACGGCCCAAACUCCUACGGGAGGCAGCAGUGGGGAAUAUUGCACAAUGGGGGAAACCCUGAUGCAGCGACGCCGCGUGAGCGAUGAAGUAUUUCGGUAUGUAAAGCUCUAUCAGCAGGGAAGAAAAUGACGGUACCUGACUAAGAAGCACCGGCUAAAUACGUGCCAGCAGCCGCGGUAAUACGUAUGGUGCAAGCGUUAUCCGGAUUUACUGGGUGUAAAGGGAGCGUAGACGGAGUGGCAAGUCUGAUGUGAAAACCCGGGGCUCAACCCCGGGACUGCAUUGGAAACUGUCAAUCUAGAGUACCGGAGAGGUAAGCGGAAUUCCUAGUGUAGCGGUGAAAUGCGUAGAUAUUAGGAGGAACACCAGUGGCGAAGGCGGCUUACUGGACGGUAACUGACGUUGAGGCUCGAAAGCGUGGGGAGCAAACAGGAUUAGAUACCCUGGUAGUCCACGCCGUAAACGAUGACUAAUAGGUGUUGGGCAGCCAAAGCUAUUCGGUGCCGCCGCCAAACGCAAUAAGUAGUCCACCUGGGGAGUACGUUCGCAAGAAAGAAACUCAAAGGAAUGGACGGGGAGCCGCACAAGCGGUGGAGCAUGUGGUUUAAUUUGAAGCAACGCGAAGAACCUUACCUGCUCUUGACAUCUCCCUGACCGGCAAGUAAUGUUGCCUUUCCUUCGGGACAGGGAUGACAGGUGGUGCAUGGUUGUCGUCAGCUCGUGUCGUGAGAUGGUGGGUUAAGUCCCGCAACGAGCGCAACCCCUAUCUUUAGUAGCCAGCGGUUUGGCCGGGCACUCUAGAGAGACUGCCAGGGAUAACCUGGAGGAAGGUGGGGAUGACGUCAAAUCAUCAUGCCCCCUAUGAGCAGGGCUACACACGUGCUACAAUGGCGUAAACAAAGGGAGGCAGAACCGCGAGGUCGAGCAAAUCCCAAAAAUAACGUCUCAGUUCGGAUUGUAGUCUGCAACUCGACUACAUGAAGCUGGAAUCGCUAGUAAUCGCGAAUCAGAAUGUCGCGGUGAAUACGUUCCCGGGUCUUGCAC
RNAcentral lists this ribosomal RNA (1361 nucleotides) under uncultured bacterium. RNAcentral's name for it is "16S ribosomal RNA". It matches the Rfam family "Bacterial small subunit ribosomal RNA", at positions 28 to 1386 of the family's 1533-position model. The record is from RNAcentral.